Molecule: ribosomal RNA, 429 nt
Filed under: Pseudomonadota bacterium
Lineage: Bacteria; Pseudomonadati; Pseudomonadota
Description: Proteobacteria bacterium partial 16S ribosomal RNA
Rfam family: Bacterial small subunit ribosomal RNA
Source: RNAcentral
UGGGGAAUAUUGGACAAUGGGCGAAAGCCUGAUCCGGCCAUGCCGCGUGUGUGAAGAAGGUCUUCGGAUUGUAAAGCACUUUAAGUUGGGAGGAAGGGCAGUAAGCGAAUACCUUGCUGUUUUGACGUUACCGACAGAAUAAGCACCGGCUAACUCUGUGCCAGCAGCCGCGGUAAUACAGAGGGUGCAAGCGUUAAUCGGAAUUACUGGGCGUAAAGCGCGCGUAGGUGGUUCGUUAAGUUGAAUGUGAAAGCCCCGGGCUCAACCUGGGAACUGCAUCCAAAACUGGCGAGCUAGAGUAGGGCAGAGGGUGGUGGAAUUUCCUGUGUAGCGGUGAAAUGCGUAGAUAUAGGAAGGAACACCAGUGGCGAAGGCGACCACCUGGGCUCAUACUGACACUGAGGUGCGAAAGCGUGGGGAGCAAACAGG